Molecule: long non-coding RNA, 141 nt
Organism: Pan paniscus (pygmy chimpanzee)
Lineage: Eukaryota; Metazoa; Chordata; Mammalia; Primates; Hominidae
Source: Ensembl
CAGGGAGCAGUAAUGUCUCCAUUUAAGACGCAGGAGCCAAUGACUAGGCCCUUUUCCAAGUUGUACUCCAUGUGGAAAUUUUUGCCAACAUAAAUCUAAGGACAAGAAAUUUCUUCCUAGAGAUACAACACAAGUGAGACA